GACUCUGAGUUGUGGAUCACUCUGCUCAUGUGUCAAUGAAGAGCACAGCUUGCUGCGAGAACUAAUGUGAAUUGCAGGACACAUUGAUCAUCGACACUUUGAAUGCACUUUGCGGCCCUGGGUUACUCCCAGGGCUACGUCUGUCUGAGGGUCU
This is a ribosomal RNA of Protopterus annectens (West African lungfish), 154 nucleotides long. RefSeq annotates it as 5.8S ribosomal RNA. The record is from RefSeq and is a predicted model, not a curated record. The transcript has a single exon. NCBI's taxonomy places the organism in Eukaryota, Metazoa, Chordata, Ceratodontiformes, Protopteridae.